UCCGUGCUGGAGGGGAUGGCACACAAUGGGGUGGCUGUGAUGAAACUGCUCAGCAGUGCCUGAGCCCUGGGAGCUGUCCUGCCUCAGGGGUGUCCAGGGCAGCACUCCCAACGUUCCUCUUUGAGAAUUCAGGGAUGAAAUGUUCGGGAGGGGAGGGACGUGGUCACAGCAGUGAACAUGGCCCAUCAGAGACUCGGUAAUGCAGCUGCUUGUACCUUUUCCCAAAGAGCGUGGCAGCAGAACUGGUGGUGAAGACAGGAGAAAUAUGAAAUAUGGCACAGGAGAUUUUACUUAUCUUGCACCUGCUAAGCACAAGGAGCCAAAUCUUCAGCUGAUGUCAACCAACUGAAAUCUCUGCCUGUAGAGGAGUGACACUGAUUUACACCAGCCAGGAAUCUGGCUGGGGAUGUUACUGACUUGGCAUUAUGGACACAGCAGCUGGUGCUGACUUGUUAAGAACAAAGGACCACAUGCCAAAAAGCCCAUUAAAAGGAGCUCCUUUGA
This is a long non-coding RNA of Passer domesticus (house sparrow), 504 nucleotides long. RefSeq lists it as uncharacterized. The record is from RefSeq and is a predicted model, not a curated record. NCBI's taxonomy places the organism in Eukaryota, Metazoa, Chordata, Aves, Passeriformes, Passeridae. The transcript is spliced from 2 exons.